UAUAUCAUAUUACACAUAUAAAAUAGAAGUCUGACUGCGAUACUAUCGAUAGUAUCAAAAGUUUGGUGUUUUCCACCGUUUAAUUAUUUUUACCCAUUAGAUUAUAUUAUUCAACCAACCAUCCACUCAACCCUAGAGGGCCCAUAUCAUUCUAACCGUACAUUUUUCAAUCCAAAGGCUAAAAAACUAAUAGCACCAAUAGUUUGGUGCUAUUGAUAGUAUUCUAGCCUAAUUCUAUAAAAUAGUGCAAAAUUCAAAAAGAUUUUUUUUUUUUUUAAGAGAUAGGUAGCACGCUACCCGCUUCGUUUAUUUCAUUUAGAAAUAAGUCUAGCUGGAAAUGUGAAUCAACUAGGGUUCGAACUUGGGUCUCGGGUACCAACAGACCGUCCCUAGAGCAAGUGGCAAAGGGCUUGAUGGUUGGUAUCCGAUACUUAAGUUCGAAUCCUAGUUGAUUCAUAUUUCCAGCUAAAUUUAUUUUUAAAUAAAAUAAACGAAGCAGCUAGCGUGCUACCUAUCUCUCAAAAAUAUAUAUAUAUAUUUAAAAAAGAUAUAUAUUAAAUAUAGUAUUUGUG
RNAcentral lists this long non-coding RNA (572 nucleotides) under Ananas comosus (pineapple). Its description in RNAcentral is "long non-coding RNA (ACOM_LNC018579)". The record is from RNAcentral. Lineage: Eukaryota; Viridiplantae; Streptophyta; Magnoliopsida; Poales; Bromeliaceae.